Long non-coding RNA from Patella vulgata (common limpet), 256 nucleotides. RefSeq lists it as uncharacterized. The record is from RefSeq and is a predicted model, not a curated record. The transcript has 3 exons. NCBI's taxonomy places the organism in Eukaryota, Metazoa, Mollusca, Gastropoda, Patellidae.
GUGGACUGGCACUCAAAAUAUAACGGUUUUGUAUGAUGGGAAUUUUGUCCAGUGGAUUAUUUUUCUUUGUUGGAACAUUACAACCUCUAUUACAACCUUUGAUCACACAGUUACCUGGGUCAUAACAUCAACAAAUGUCUGAAUAUUAGGAGAACCAAAUAUAUAGGACUUCUUGUGAACUUCAAAUCCAUCAUGUGACCUUUUUUGACCUGAUGCUACUUCUUUUGGUAAUGGCUGCAGAUAGAAUAAACAUAAA